Molecule: long non-coding RNA, 264 nt
Filed under: Nicotiana benthamiana
Lineage: Eukaryota; Viridiplantae; Streptophyta; Magnoliopsida; Solanales; Solanaceae
Description: long non-coding RNA (NBEN_LNC003642)
Source: RNAcentral
GCUUAUGAACUGUUGAAUAUAAUGGAAUUGGAACUGUUGGCUAUGGAAACACUCGUAAUAAUGUUGUGGUUGUGUCUUAAGAAGUAUUGUUGUUGCUCUUCUUGUUUAUGAAUUGAUUGUUGUUUAUCUUUGUGAUUUGUUGUUUGGUUGUGAUUGUUGUGAACUGAAACUGUACAGCAAGGUCGGGUUGCGCGCCAUAGCACGGUAUUAUAAGGUGGCGGGUUGUGGUGAUAAGGGCGGCCGAGGUAAUAAGGGUGGACGAGG